GACGAACGCUGGCGGCGUGCUUAACACAUGCAAGUCGAACGGAAAGGCCCUGCUUUUGUUGGGUGCUCGAGUGGCGAACGGGUGUGUAACACGUGAGUAACCUGCCCUUGACUUUGUGAUAACUUCAGGAAACUGGGGCUAAUACCGGAUAGGAGCUCCUGCUGCAUGGUGGGGGUUGGAAAGUUUCGGCGGUGGGGGAUGGACUCUCGGCUUAUCAGCUUGUUGGUGGGGUAGUGGCUUACCAAGGCUUUGACGGGUAGCCGGCCUGAGAGGGUGACCGGCCACAUUGGGACUGAGAUACGGACCAGACUCCUACGGGAGGCAGUAGUGGGGAAUAUUGCACAAUGGGCGGAAGCCUGAUGCAGCAACGCCGCGUGCGGGAUGACGGCCUUCGGGUUGUAAACCGCUUUCGCCUGUGACGAAGCGGGAGUGACGGUAAUGGGUAAAGAAGCACCGGCUAACUACGUG
Molecule: ribosomal RNA, 468 nt
Filed under: uncultured bacterium
Lineage: Bacteria
Description: partial 16S ribosomal RNA
Rfam family: Bacterial small subunit ribosomal RNA
Source: RNAcentral